CAGGAUGAACGCUAGCUACAGGCUUAACACAUGCAAGUCGAGGGGCAUCAGGAAGAAAGCUUGCUUUCUUUGCUGGCGACCGGCGCACGGGUGAGUAACACGUAUCCAACCUGCCCUUUACUCGGGGAUAGCCUUUCGAAAGAAAGAUUAAUACCCGAUAGCAUAAUGAUUCCGCAUGGUUUCAUUAUUAAAGGAUUCCGGUAAAGGAUGGGGAUGCGUUCCAUUAGGUUGUUGGUGAGGUAACGGCCCACCAAGCCUUCGAUGGAUAGGGGUUCUGAGAGGAAGGUCCCCCACAUUGGAACUGAGACACGGUCCAAACUCCUACGGGAGGCAGCAGUGAGGAAUAUUGGUCAAUGGGCGCUAGCCUGAACCAGCCAAGUAGCGUGAAGGAUGAAGGCUCUAUGGGUCGUAAACUUCUUUUAUAUAAGAAUAAAGUGCAGUAUGUAUACUGUUUUGUAUGUAUUAUAUGAAUAAGGAUCGGCUAACUCCGUGCCAGCAGCCGCGGUAAUACGGAGGAUCCGAGCGUUAUCCGGAUUUAUUGGGUUUAAAGGGAGCGUAGGUGGACUGGUAAGUCAGUUGUGAAAGUUUGCGGCUCAACCGUAAAAUUGCAGUUGAUACUGUCAGUCUUGAGUACAGUAGAGGUGGGCGGAAUUCGUGGUGUAGCGGUGAAAUGCUUAGAUAUCACGAAGAACUCCGAUUGCGAAGGCAGCUCACUGGACUGCAACUGACACUGAUGCUCGAAAGUGUGGGUAUCAAACAGGAUUAGAUACCCUGGUAGUCCACACAGUAAACGAUGAAUACUCGCCGUUUGCGAUAUACAGUAAGCGGCCAAGCGAAAGCAUUAAGUAUUCCACCUGGGGAGUACGCCGGCAACGGUGAAACUCAAAGGAAUUGACGGGGGCCCGCACAAGCGGAGGAACAUGUGGUUUAAUUCGAUGAUACGCGAGGAACCUUACCCGGGCUUAAAUUGCAGUGGAAUGAUGUGGAAACAUGUCAGUGAGCAAUCACCGCUGUGAAGGUGCUGCAUGGUUGUCGUCAGCUCGUGCCGUGAGGUGUCGGCUUAAGUGCCAUAACGAGCGCAACCCUUAUCUUCAGUUACUAACAGGUCAUGCUGAGGACUCUGGAGAGACUGCCGUCGUAAGAUGUGAGGAAGGUGGGGAUGACGUCAAAUCAGCACGGCCCUUACGUCCGGGGCUACACACGUGUUACAAUGGGGGGUACAGAAGGCAGCUAGCGGGUGACCGUAUGCUAAUCCCAAAAGCCUCUCUCAGUUCGGAUCGAAGUCUGCAACCCGACUUCGUGAAGCUGGAUUCGCUAGUAAUCGCGCAUCAGCCACGGCGCGGUGAAUACGUUCCCGGGCCUUGUACACACCGCCCGUCAAGCCAUGGGAGCCGGGGGUACCUGAAGUACGUAACCGCAAGGAUCGUCCUAGGGUAAAAC
RNAcentral lists this ribosomal RNA (1440 nucleotides) under uncultured organism. RNAcentral describes it as "SSU rRNA". It matches the Rfam family "Bacterial small subunit ribosomal RNA". The record is from RNAcentral.